AGAUUGAACGCUGGCGGCAGGCCUAACACAUGCAAGUCGAGCGGCAGCACGGGUACUUGUACCUGGUGGCGAGCGGCGGACGGGUGAGUAAUGCCUAGGAAUCUGCCUGGUAGUGGGGGAUAACGCUCGGAAACGGACGCUAAUACCGCAUACGUCCUACGGGAGAAAGCAGGGGACCUUCGGGCCUUGUGCUAUCAGAUGAGCCUAGGUCGGAUUAGCUAGUUGGUGAGGUAAUGGCUCACCAAGGCGACGAUCCGUAACUGGUCUGAGAGGAUGAUCAGUCACACUGGAACUGAGACACGGUCCAGACUCCGGUACGGGAC
This 323-nucleotide ribosomal RNA is filed under the name uncultured soil bacterium. Its description in RNAcentral is "bacterial SSU rRNA". It matches the Rfam family "Bacterial small subunit ribosomal RNA", at positions 26 to 347 of the family's 1533-position model. The record is from RNAcentral.